RNAcentral lists this unclassified non-coding RNA (232 nucleotides) under Dendronephthya gigantea. RNAcentral describes it as "sprT-like domain-containing protein Spartan, transcript variant X1". The record is from RNAcentral. Lineage: Eukaryota; Metazoa; Cnidaria; Anthozoa; Malacalcyonacea; Nephtheidae.
GAAUGAACUUAGUGAAUCUAUUGGUGGCGAUCGAAGGUGGACAGCAAGAUCGAAGCUCAGCAAGAUUGAAGAUUGUUCGAGGAAGAAGGAGUUCGCCGUUGACUAAAAGGUUUAUCUGAACAGCUAGUUGUCAAGAUGAAGGUGAAGACUCGCCCGGCCAAAUUCAAAAUGGCGAUGCCAAAGAAAACCAUCCACGUGGACCGUUCGCGGACCUUUCUGAGCAAGAUUGUUG